RNAcentral lists this ribosomal RNA (253 nucleotides) under uncultured bacterium. RNAcentral's name for it is "partial 16S ribosomal RNA". It matches the Rfam family "Bacterial small subunit ribosomal RNA", at positions 524 to 776 of the family's 1533-position model. The record is from RNAcentral.
UACGAAGGGGGCUAGCGUUGCUCGGAAUGACUGGGCGUAAAGCGCGCGCAGGCGGUCCUUCAAGUCAGAGGUGAAAGCCCAGAGCUCAACUCUGGAACGGCCUUUGAAACUAGAGGACUUGGGUACGGGAGAGGUGAGUGGAAUUCCGAGUGUAGAGGUGAAAUUCGUAGAUAUUCGGAAGAACACCAGUGGCGAAGGCGGCUCACUGGCCCGUUACCGACGCUCAGGCGCGACAGCGUGGGGAGCAAACAGG